CUACGGGGGGCAGCAGUGGGGAAUAUUGCACAAUGGGGGAAACCCUGAUGCAGCAACGCCGCGUGGAGGAUGACGCAUUUCGGUGUGUAAACUCCUUUUAUAUAGGAAGAUAAUGACGGUACUAUAUGAAUAAGCACCGGCUAACUCCGUGCCAGCAGCCGCGGUAAUACGGAGGGUGCAAGCGUUACUCGGAAUCACUGGGCGUAAAGCGCGCGCAGGCGGCCGUUUAAGUUGGAUGUGAAAGCCUAUGGCUUAACCAUAGAACUGCAUCCAAAACUAUCAGGCUAGAGUCUGGGAGGGGAAGGUGGAAUUAGUUGUGUAGGGGUAAAAUCCGUAGAGAUAACUAGGAAUACCAAAAGCGAAGGCGAUCUUCUGGAACAGUACUGACGCUGAGGCGCGAAAGCGUGGGGAGCAAACAGGAUUAGAUACCCUAGUAGUC
This 439-nucleotide ribosomal RNA is filed under the name uncultured bacterium. Its description in RNAcentral is "partial 16S ribosomal RNA". It matches the Rfam family "Bacterial small subunit ribosomal RNA", at positions 339 to 795 of the family's 1533-position model. The record is from RNAcentral.